Non-coding RNA from Araneus ventricosus, 73 nucleotides. The record is from the annotation of a GenBank genome assembly. Lineage: Eukaryota; Metazoa; Arthropoda; Arachnida; Araneae; Araneidae.
GCCGCCAUAGCUCAGAGGUUAGAGCACUGGUCUCGUAAACCAGGGGUCGUGAGUUCGAAUCUCGCUGGUGGCU